RNAcentral lists this ribosomal RNA (254 nucleotides) under uncultured soil bacterium. Its description in RNAcentral is "partial 16S ribosomal RNA". It matches the Rfam family "Bacterial small subunit ribosomal RNA", at positions 26 to 284 of the family's 1533-position model. The record is from RNAcentral.
AGGACGAACGCUGGCGGCGUGCUUAACACAUGCAAGUCGAGCGGAAAGGCCCUUCGGGGUACUCGAGCGGCGAACGGGUGAGUAACACGUGGGCAACCUGCCCUCAGCUCUGGGAUAACUCCGGGAAACCGGGGCUAAUACCGGAUACGACCACUCCUGGCAUCUGGGGUGGUGGAAAGUUUUUUCGGCUGAGGAUGGGCCCGCGGCCUAUCAGCUUGUUGGUGGGGUCACGGCCCACCAAGGCGACGACGGGU